CCUACGGGAGGCAGCAGUGGGGAAUCUUGCGCAAUGGGCGAAAGCCUGACGCAGCAACGCCGCGUGCGGGAAGAAGGCCUUCGGGUUGUAAACCGCUUUCAGCAGGAACGAAAAUGACGGUACCUGCAGAAGAAGGAGCGGCCAACUACGUGCCAGCAGCCGCGGUGACACGUAGGCUCCAAGCGUUGUCCGGAUUUAUUGGGCGUAAAGAGCUCGUAGGCGGUUCAGUAAGUCGGGUGUGAAAACUCUGGGCUCAACCCAGAGCCUGCAUUCGAAACUGCUGUGACUAGAGUUUGGUAGGGGAGCGGGGAAUUCCUAGUGUAGCGGUGAAAUGCGCAGAUAUUAGGAGGAACACCGGUGGCGAAAGCGCCGCUCUGGGCCAAUACUGACGCUGAGGAGCGAAAGCGUGGGUAGCAAACAGGAUUAGAUACCCUGGUAGUCCACGCCGUAAACGAUGGGCACUAGGUGUGGGUUUACAACUAACGAAAUCCGUGCCGUCGCUAACGCAUUAAGUGCCCGCCUGGGGAGGUACGGUCGCGAGACGUAAACGUACGAAGAAGUAGACGGUCGUGAGACGUUGUCCGAACGGACGACGACGAGGGAGGAGG
Molecule: ribosomal RNA, 608 nt
Filed under: uncultured bacterium
Lineage: Bacteria
Description: bacterial SSU rRNA
Rfam family: Bacterial small subunit ribosomal RNA (bases 1-521)
Source: RNAcentral